CUUGCAUGAUGAUCACUUGCAUGAUGAUCACUUGCAUGAUGAGCACUUGCAUGAUGAGCACUUGCAUGAUGAGCACUUGCAUGACGAAUGUAGGACCAAAAGUAAUGGUAAAAAUGUGUUAUAUAUGUCAGAUAUGUAUAAAUACAAUAUGGGUACAAAUGAAAAUAUUAGUAAAAGUUACAGAGAUAGUAGUAUGAAUAGAACAUUAGUUAAUGUCGAAACAGAAAAUAAGUCAGUAGGAAAUAUUGAUGUAACAGAAAAAAUAGGUGUGAUAAAAGAAAAUAAAACAUCAGGUGUUAAUAUUAUAUAUGAUGUAAAGAAAGAUAUGAACCAAAAUAAGUAUAUGCGGAAUAGUCAAGAAGAAGAAAAAAAACAAAUAGUAAUAUCGAAAUAAAUAAUAACACUGAUAUUUAUAAUAAAAAAACGUCUAUUGAUAGAAAUAAUUUUUUAAAAAUAGAGGACUCAGGACAUGGAACUGGAAGUGGAACUGGAAGUGGAAACAAAAGUGGAACUGGAAGUGGAAACANNNNNNNNNNAAGUGGAACUGGAAGUGGAAACAAAAGUGGAACUGGAAGUGGAAACAAAAGUGGAAACAAAAGUGGAAGCAGAAGUGGAAGCGGAAGUGGAAGUGGUCUUAAACGAGCAAAUAAUUCAUUAAAUAAUGUUAUGGAUAACAAUAUAACAGGUAUAAAUCAGUUUGGAAAUACUGAUAUAAAUGAUAAUCGUACCAAAAUAAAUAAUACAGAUGAUAAGAACAGUUAUUUAUAUGGUAAUACAAAAUAUAAAGAGAUGAUGAUGGGUCUAUCUGACAAAUAUAAAAAUGGGUAUAAUAACAAUAUGGGAGAUAUAAAAGAAAUAAAUGGUAAAAAUGUAGUUAAAGAAGAGGAUAAGUUGUACUCUUCUGAUGACUAUGGAGGUGACAAAAAUAUAGCAAAUGUUUCAAUCGUUUCUAAAAAGGUAACAAAUGUAGAAACAGACAGAAGUAAUUAUGUACAUAUGUACAAAAAUGAAAAAAAUAUGGACAGUCAUAAAAAUAUGAAUGAACAAGAUAUUAGUGGUAAUAAUAAUAUACAUAACUCGAAGAAGGAUAUGCAAUUUUUAGUACAUGCAUAUAGCAAUACUACUAGUGAUAAUAAUUUGUAUGGAAAAACAGAUGAUAGUGCAGAAAGUACACCAAAAAAAUAUGAACAUUCAUUUUUUUAUGAUUAUAAAAAUGAAUUGACUAAUGAUUCUAAAAUACAUGAUAAAAAAAUAAAAAAAAACAAAAAAAUAGGGAUGUAUAAAUUAUGUUUACGUAAUAUAAUUUAUAUCAUAAAAAUAAUGUAUUAUAUUACAAGAGGGGAAUUUUUAUUUAUUGAUAAAUUAUACACUAUUUUUAAGGAAAAUUUAAAAAAUAAACAAGAUGGAAGUAGUAAAAAUAAUACGAUUAAAUCUAAAAUUGAAAAGGAAAAUGUCAUAAUCAAUAAAGACAAUAAUAAAGACAAUAAUAAAGACAAUAAUAAAGACAAUAAUAAAGACAUUAAUAAAGACAUUAAUAAAGACAUUAAUAAAAACAAUAAUAAAGACAAUAGUAAUAUUAAAAAAAAGAUGAAAAAAAAAAAAAAAAAAAAAAAAGAGAAAAAAAAAAAAAAAAAAAAAAAAAAAAAAAAAAAAAAAAAAAAAAAAGAAAAGAUGAAGAAUUAA
Long non-coding RNA from Piliocolobus tephrosceles (Ugandan red Colobus), 1683 nucleotides. Lineage: Eukaryota; Metazoa; Chordata; Mammalia; Primates; Cercopithecidae. The record is from Ensembl.